UACGAACCGCACGAACGUUAUUCGGAAUCACUGGGCUUAAAGGGUGCGUAGGCGGCCAUGCAAGUUGGGUGUGAAAUCCCUCGGCUCAACCGAGGAAUUGCGCUCAAAACUGCACGGCUUGAGGGAGAUAGAGGUGAGCGGAACUUGCGGUGGAGCGGUGAAAUGCGUUGAUAUCGCAAGGAACACCAGUUGCGAAAGCGGCUCACUGGGUCUCUUCUGACGCUGAGGCACGAAAGCUAGGGGAGCGAAGAGGAUUAGAUACCCUCGUAGUCCUAGCUGUAAACGUUGAGCACUUGGUUGAGGAAUCCUCCAUAGUUUCCCAGCCGUAGCGAAAGUGGUAAGUGCUCCGCCUGGGGAGUAUGGUCGCAAGGCUGAA
Molecule: ribosomal RNA, 376 nt
Filed under: uncultured bacterium
Lineage: Bacteria
Description: bacterial SSU rRNA
Rfam family: Bacterial small subunit ribosomal RNA
Source: RNAcentral